GUAGGUGGCAAGCGUUGUCCGGAAUUAUUGGGCGUAAAGCGCGCGCAGGCGGUUCUUUAAGUCUGAUGUGAAAGCCCACGGCUCAACCGUGGAGGGUCAUUGGAAACUGGAGAACUUGAGUACAGAAGAGGAAAGCGGAAUUCCACGUGUAGCGGUGAAAUGCGUAGAGAUGUGGAGGAACACCAGUGGCGAAGGCGGCUUUCUGGUCUGUAACUGACGCUGAGGCGCGAAAGCGUGGGGAGCAAACAGGGAUUAGAUACCCUGGUAGUCCACGCCGUAAACGAUGAGUGCUAAGUGUUAGGGGGUUUCCGCCCCCUUUAGUGCUGCAGCUAACGCAUUAAGCACUCCGCCUGGGGAUACGGCCGCAAGGCUG
Molecule: ribosomal RNA, 373 nt
Filed under: uncultured organism
Description: partial 16S ribosomal RNA
Rfam family: Bacterial small subunit ribosomal RNA
Source: RNAcentral